Long non-coding RNA from Zootermopsis nevadensis, 1171 nucleotides. RefSeq lists it as uncharacterized. Lineage: Eukaryota; Metazoa; Arthropoda; Insecta; Blattodea; Termopsidae. The record is from RefSeq and is a predicted model, not a curated record.
GAUAGUAUAAGAAUGAUACACCAAGAAGGAUGAGAUGGGCAGGAAAUACAGCACACACAGGAGAGAUUAUAUUUGCAAUGGAGAGGGAAGAAUAAUUGUGAGAUGUAGCACAGACGAGAGGGAAACAUUAAAACACAUCUUGUAUGUGAUGUGUUGGUACGGACUGGACUGAUUUAGUAUAACUGCUAUUUUUAUAAUGUUAUGAACCAUAAAAUGUAGGAGGAGAGUUUUGUGACUUUGUCAGUUUGACAGCCAGACAGUGACUGAUUCGCCUGUCAUAACCUAUCUUUCCAGUAUCAUCGUAAAAACAACGAAAUGUACCAGAACAUGGAGUGCCCUUUCAACAGUGGGAAUGAGCGUGGCCAAUUCUAGAAAAACAAACCUGUCUCGGACUGGGACAAAGCCCCAGAAAACUGGGACGAUGACAGUCUCAAGAACUGGGAUAAAGACCACAUGGAGGACAGACCCUGUUAUCAUUUUGUGUUGCUUGCUAUUAACAAGGGGGAUAUUUGGCUCAUAAAAGACAGGCAGUACUAAGUUUGAUACAGGACAAUUUUGCUAAUGAUGCGAAGAGAACGCAUGCAAAUGGUUUUGGAAAGGUGUACAUGACGUGGAAGAACUGCGGCAUGGAUAACAACACGGUAUAUGCAAUGAAAAUCAUUGACGUCCCCGUUAAAGGCGACCGAGACAAAUACCAAAGAGAGUGCUACGUACAUCAACUCUGCUGCCAAUUUCCAAUCCUGGUAGCACUCUGUUACACCUUCCAGACAAAGUCCAAGAUCUGUCUGGCACUUGGAAGAUACAUGAAAAACAAUUCCUGAUUCCAGGAUGGUUGAGAAGCAAAGUGAACAAAUUAACAACAGAAGUGUCAGUGCAUUGUAGUACCAAGUAAUGCAGUAAAAUUUACAAAGCUGCAGAGGUACUUGCUGCCCACAUCACCCUAGUACCACAAAGAAUAAGAACUAACUUCAAACUUAAAUUCCUAACAUUCCCUGUUCUGAGAAUAUGCGUACUCUGCUGGAAUCAAAACCUUCAAAAUUCUGUUCAUUAGUGUCAAUAGUAUUAAAGAUAAGGACAAAUUUGCUGUACUUAAGCCUAUCUUCUGCAUAACAGUGCGUUUUGUGCAAGUUCUUAAAAUCGUUAUUAAACCUCUAUCUUCCGUAAAACCUAA